Molecule: ribosomal RNA, 465 nt
Filed under: uncultured bacterium
Lineage: Bacteria
Description: partial 16S ribosomal RNA
Rfam family: Bacterial small subunit ribosomal RNA
Source: RNAcentral
GAUGAACGCUGGCGGCGUGCUUAACACAUGCAAGUCGAACGGAAAGGCUCCUGCUUGCAGGGGUACUCGAGUGGCGAACGGGUGAGUAACACGUGGGUGAUCUGCCCUGCACUUCGGGAUAAGCCUGGGAAACUGGGUCUAAUACCGGAUAGGACGAUGGUUUGGAUGCCAUUGUGGAAAGUUUUUCGGUGUGGGAUGAGCUCGCGGCCUAUCAGCUUGUUGGUGGGGUAAUGGCCUACCAAGGCGUCGACGGGUAGCCGGCCUGAGAGGGUGUGCGGCCACAUUGGGACUGAGAUACGGCCCAGACUCCUACGGGAGGCAGCAGUGGGGAAUAUUGCACAAUGGGCGGAAGCCUGAUGCAGCGACGCCGCGUGGGGGAUGACGGCCUUCGGGUUGUAAACUCCUUUCGCUAGGGACGAAGCGCAAGUGACGGUACCUGGAGAAGAAGCACCGGCUAACUACGUG